AACCAUUGUGAACGUUACCUUCAAACCGUUGCUUCGGCGGGCGGCCCGGGUCCGCCCGGUGCCCCCUGGCCCCCUCGCGGGGCGCCCGCCGGAGGAAACCCAACUCUUGAUACAUUAUGGCCUCUCUGAGUCUUCUGUACUGAAUAAGUCAAAACUUUCAACAACGGAUCUCUUGGUUCUGGCAUCGAUGAAGAACGCAGCGAAAUGCGAUAAGUAAUGUGAAUUGCAGAAUUCAGUGAAUCAUCGAAUCUUUGAACGCACAUUGCGCCCGCCAGUAUUCUGGCGGGCAUGCCUGUUCGAGCGUCAUUUCAACCAUCAAGCCCCAGGCUUGUGUUGGGGACCUGCGGCUGCCGCAGGCCCUGAAAACCAGUGGCGGGCUCGCUGUCACACCGGGCGUAGUAGAUUUUAUCUCGCUCAGGGCGUGCUGCGGGUUCCGGCCGUUAAAAAGCCUUUUUUACCCAAGGUUGACCUCGGAUCAGGUAGGAAGACCCGCUGAACUUAAGCAUAUCAAUAA
RNAcentral lists this ribosomal RNA (514 nucleotides) under Chaetomium ancistrocladum. RNAcentral's name for it is "eukaryotic LSU rRNA". The stretch from base 153 to 306 matches the Rfam family "5.8S ribosomal RNA". Lineage: Eukaryota; Fungi; Ascomycota; Sordariomycetes; Sordariales; Chaetomiaceae. The record is from RNAcentral.